UGGGUGGAUAGGUUCUGGUUGUGUGAUUCUAGAGCCAAAUAUAAAGAGCCAAAGGGCUUCUAGAUGAAAAUCAGCUCUGCUAGACUUAUGUUAUAUAUAUACUUAAAUUUUGUGACAACAUUUUUGACAGGUCAAAUACAGAUUGUAAUGACUGGAAAUUUACCAGUUUUGUUUUCAACUUCUUGAGCUUCCUAGGAGACCAGUUAUAUAGAACAACUAAAAGAGCAUCUCAAUUUCUAGAUGACCUCACGUUGGUGGUAGAGUCAAAAAGCCCUUCUAGAAGAGUCGGGCGGUUUCUUAACCCUGGCUGCCCAUUAGAAACACUUGGAAGCUUUUAACAAUUAUGAUGUUCUAGCCCCACCUGAACCCAAUUAAUAUAGAACACUGGGGAGUGGGGCCAGGGCAAAGGGCCCAGGGCAGUUUUAUAAGUGCCCUGGGUGAUUCUAAUUUUCAAUUAGGGUUAAAAAAAGCUAACACUGGGGUAUAACCUUUUGCUUUAACCCUUCAUCUUUUGAUCAGACUCAGAAGUGACAAUGUUAGAACAAAGAUGCUAACAGCUAACAUUUCAAAUCAAACCUUAGGCAUCAUUUAAAGCCAACGCAUCCUUAAAGACCCCAAGGGAAGGAGUAAAGAUGGAAAGAGCAAAGAUAUAUGGCUGGAGGGAUGAAAGAUCUUCUCUCCAGCAAGGCCCAACACAGCUGGCUGCCAGGUUCCAGGCAGCGGCACAGACGCACAGAUGCAGAAGGCACUUGGAGCCACAGGAAGCUUACAGUCGGGUCCUUGACCGGGUCUUCCUGUCGUCCUGCGCUCAGAUCCUUCACUGUCCUACUGCAGUUUUACAACCUAGCAGAAGGAAGUUCUUGAAAGCAUCGCUCUUUGUCCUCAGAGAGAUGAGUGAUCCUCAUCCUCAGGCAUCCUGUCUGAUGCUGACAAGCACUUGAUGACAAUGAGGAAAGCCAGCCUGAGCGGGAUGCUGAGACAUGAAGAGAAGACUAGGUAACAGAAUCUCAGAAUGAAGCUGAAGAGCAACUGUUACAUAAAUAAAGCACAUACUCUACACUGAGAAGAUUACAGGAAAUGUGAAGAACUGUUAAUGUGAGUUCCCUCCAUCCCUCACACAACGGAUUAAUGGAGCUUGAUAGAAGCUUAGGAAAUCUUCUCCACAGCCCCUGCCUUUGGGCAGCACACAUCUAAACCAUCUACAAUGGUUCACGGUCUGUGCUUCUCCACAGCCUCCCAGUGUGCAGACACCAGAACCUACUCUGGGACUUUCACACCACGACUGCCCAGAAGUUUUCCAGUCACUCAAGAGAAAUCUGUUAGGUAUUAACAGAAUUUUAACCCAUUCUUUCUCGGUUUUGAAUUUUUAAGCCUACAAAAGAACACAUACACACACGUGCACACAGUUGUUCAGUGUGAUUUAUUAGGAAAUAUUGAACAUUUCCAAAAGAGAAUUAAUUAUCGAGCUAACUAGGAUACUUUUAGACAAUUGGAUGGUAGAAUUGGAGAUUUUUGUCCCAUGCUUAAUGUCUUAAUAUCAUGAACUGUCUCUUUAAACAUCCUGAAACUGGCCUUGUUUGAAUUAUUUACAGUCUUUGAACAGCACAAUCUUUGUAGAUAUUCUUAAUACUCUUUGGUGGAUCUUUCUUUAGCAUCUUAUUGGAAAUAAAGCAUUUCACUUACUUCUGUUAAGAAAAUAUCAUUGCAAUCAGCUGUAGAAAAAAAUUUUUUUGCACAUAUACUAUUCUUUCAUAAAGUUCCAUAAGAUUAGUUGUAGUCCUUUGGUUUUUCCAGCUUAUUGAACCAAAAUCAUAGCUUCUAUUUCUAACCUGAGAAAUAUGCAUUCUCGGUAAGAUUAUUUCUCUGGCAAAAAUGCAAUGGGCAACCAAGAGAUUCCCUGUGCAACUGUCACCUCUGCUUUGGAAAUCCGGGUACUGUGCUUCUAAUCUGUGAAAGGGGCUGGGCUUGUUCAUCCCGCAGCAGAUCUGCUACCCUAAAAUGAGAUAAUAGUAGCCUGAAAUGUACGUUUUGUUUUCCACUAACUAUUUAUUUUCCCCUUUUUAAAGGUCAACUAUUUCUAUGACCAUGAUGUAUAGCUGGAACCAAAGGAAACUUUAACAACAGCGCCAUUGUUUAGACAAAUUGAUCUCAGAGAACGACAAUAGUAUUGAACCAGGCUUGCAAAUAACUACCCAAAAUUUACCAGUCCCCCAAAGUUUAUAAUCCUUUCCCUUCUAGAGAGAAAGAAGCUGUAAAAUAUAAAGCAUCCACGUUUGCAAACUAAGAAGCCAAUAUAAAAUUUUUUGUGGAUAGACUUCCAGGAAAAUGUCAAAAUGAAUUUUAUUAUAGAAUUUAUUAAAAGAAUUUCCUUUGAAGAUUAAUAAUCUGAGUAAUAAUAAAAGAAAGUCCUUUUCUGAAGUGGUAGUUUUGUAUAUACCCAUGGUGAACAGCACAUUUCUAUCUUCUCUUGUUAUAAAAUCAUAGAAAUAAAAAAAAUCCGUUUCAAUGUGAUAAGUUUAGGUUAAAAUGAGGUUAAAUUUCCUGACAAGGCUUGUUGAAAUAAUAUCCUUCCAGGGAAAACUGUUAAAUUGCCUUUGAAGAUAUUUUAAGUUAAGAUUUCUGGUUCAUGUGAUUUCACACAUAUGUUCCUCUAUUCUAUAAAAUGUCUCCAACUUUUUUUCUUUCUUUAAUAAAUGCCUAAAGCGUAUUAACAAAGGCACAUUUUUACAAGUUCUUUUCAUCUUUGUUACUGAUGGGGCUAAGCAGCGAUAUACAAAAUAGAACAGUGUAACAUUGCUUUCUGUGUAGAGUAAUUAUCUCAAACAAUAACAACAAAACAAUGACAGCAGCAACACAAACCACAGAAAUGUUUUAUCCUGUCAUUGAAGAUUCUUCCUAAACUUUUAACUCUUUUAAUGCCAUACAAAGAUAUGUGACCUCAUCAUUAUAACAUUUGCAUAAGGAUACUAAAUAUUCAGAAUAGGAUUUAAUACAAUUAUCACUAUGUGAAUUGGUCUUCAGGUCUAGUUACUUAUCAGAAAAAUGGACUAUUAGAUAUAAAAGGGACCUAAAAGAGCUUCUAAGCUCGUGUUUCUUAAUAUGUAGUCCAUGAACCAUCUGUAUCCAAAUGACCUGGUCUGCUCAUUUAAAAAAGGCUAUACAGGCAUCACUAAUUAGCAAUUUUGGAGGUAGGUCUUAUGAAUCUAGA
Long non-coding RNA from Equus caballus (horse), 3208 nucleotides. NCBI's taxonomy places the organism in Eukaryota, Metazoa, Chordata, Mammalia, Perissodactyla, Equidae. The record is from Ensembl.